GCAUAGAUAUUUACUUUGAAAAUGAUGGGGUUGCUUGAUGCAGUGCUCAACAUGAGGAUCCGUGUGGCCGCAUUGCUGUGUGUGGAAUGAUUUCUCAGUACAAUCUUGACAAGCCUGAAGGCGUACACAACUUAACAUCUAUUAUUGGGAAAUGAGUUCGCAUGGAAGGAUUCCUUGCCGGUGACUUCUAUCACCUUUAUCCAAAAUUUCUGGAAAUGGUAAUCCCAUACAUCAAACAAGGUAAGAUUGAAUAUGUAGAAGAUGUAGCUGAAGGACUCGAGAAUGGUCCAACAUCUCUAGUCGGACUAUUCACCGACCGAAAUGUUGGAAAACAAUAAGUGGUUGUUGCUCGUGAAUGAUUAUGAUCAUCGUCUAAUGUAUUUUCUGAGACGUGUCUUGCUUGUUUGAGUUGCUUUUCGUCAUGGACAUGUCUUGCGAUAUAGAAAUUGCCCUCUUAUCAAUAGAUUUUCU
This 471-nucleotide unclassified non-coding RNA is filed under the name Hevea brasiliensis (rubber tree). Lineage: Eukaryota; Viridiplantae; Streptophyta; Magnoliopsida; Malpighiales; Euphorbiaceae. The record is from RNAcentral.